GAUGAACGCUGGCGGCGUGCCUAAUACAUGCAAGUCGAGCGAACGGACGAGAAGCUUGCUUCUCUGAUGUUAGCGGCGGACGGGUGAGUAACACGUGGAUAACCUACCUAUAAGACUGGGAUAACUUCGGGAAACCGGAGCUAAUACCGGAUAAUAUUUUGAACCGCAUGGUUCAAAAGUGAAAGACGGUCUUGCUGUCACUUAUAGAUGGAUCCGCGCUGCAUUAGCUAGUUGGUAAGGUAACGGCUUACCAAGGCAACGAUGCAUAGCCGACCUGAGAGGGUGAUCGGCCACACUGGAACUGAGACACGGUCCAGACUCCUACGGGAGGCAGCAGUAGGGAAUCUUCCGCAAUGGGCGAAAGCCUGACGGAGCAACGCCGCGUGAGUGAUGAAGGUCUUCGGAUCGUAAAACUCUGUUAUUAGGGAAGAACAUAUGUGUAAGUAACUGUGCACAUCUUGACGGUACCUAAUCAGAAAGCCACGGCUAACUACGUGCCAGCAGCCGCGGUAAUACGUAGGUGGCAAGCGUUAUCCGGAAUUAUUGGGCGUAAAGCGCGCGUAGGCGGUUUUUUAAGUCUGAUGUGAAAGCCCACGGCUCAACCGUGGAGGGUCAUUGGAAACUGGAAAACUUGAGUGCAGAAGAGGAAAGUGGAAUUCCAUGUGUAGCGGUGAAAUGCUCAGAGAUAUGGAGGAACACCAGUGGCGAAGGCGACUUUCUGGUCUGUAACUGACGCUGAUGUGCGAAAGCGUGGGGAUCAAACAGGAUUAGAUACCCUGGUAGUCCACGCCGUAAACGAUGAGUGCUAAGUGUUAGGGGGUUUCCGCCCCUUAGUGCUGCAGCUAACGCAUUAAGCACUCCGCCUGGGGAGUACGACCGCAAGGUCGAAACUCAAAGGAAUUGACGGGGACCCGCACAAGCGGUGGAGCAUGUGGUUUAAUUCGAAGCAACGCGAAGAACCUUACCAAAUCUUGACAUCCUUUGACAACUCUAGAGAUAGAGCCUUCCCCUUCGGGGGACAAAGUGACAGGUGGUGCAUGGUUGUCGUCAGCUCGUGUCGUGAGAUGUUGGGUUAAGUCCCGCAACGAGCGCAACCCUUAAGCUUAGUUGCCAUCAUUAAGUUGGGCACUCUAAGUUGACUGCCGGUGACAAACCGGAGGAAGGUGGGGAUGACGUCAAAUCAUCAUGCCCCUUAUGAUUUGGGCUACACACGUGCUACAAUGGACAAUACAAAGGGCAGCGAAACCGCGAGGUCAAGCAAAUCCCAUAAAGUUGUUCUCAGUUCGGAUUGUAGUCUGCAACUCGACUACAUGAAGCUGGAAUCGCUAGUAAUCGUAGAUCAGCAUGCUACGGUGAAUACGUUCCCGGGUCU
This 1372-nucleotide ribosomal RNA is filed under the name uncultured bacterium. RNAcentral describes it as "bacterial SSU rRNA". It matches the Rfam family "Bacterial small subunit ribosomal RNA", at positions 28 to 1381 of the family's 1533-position model. The record is from RNAcentral.